UAAUACGUAGGGUGCGAGCGUUAAUCGGAAUUACUGGGCGUAAAGCGUGCGCAGGCGGUUUGUUAAGAUAGGCGUGAAAUCCCCGGGCUCAACCUGGGAACUGCGUUUAUGACUGGCAGGCUAGAGUAUGGCAGAGGGGGGUGGAAUUCCACGUGUAGCAGUGAAAUGCGUAGAGAUGUGGAGGAACACCGAUGGCGAAGGCAGCCCCCUGGGCCAAUACUGACGCUCAUGCACGAAAGCGUGGUAGCAAACAGGAUUAGAUACCCUGGUAGUCCACGCCCUAAACGAUGUCAACUAGGUGUUGGGUGGGUAAAACCAUUUAGUACCGGAGCUAACGCGUGAAGUUGACCGCCUGGGGAGUACGGCCGCAAGGUUAAAACUCAAAGGAAUUGACGGGGACCCGCACAAGCGGUGGAUGAUGUGGAUUAAUUCGAUGCAACGCGAAAAAACCCUUACCUACCCUUGACAUGUCCGGAAGCCCUUAGAGAUUUGGGUGUGCUCGAAAGAGAGCCGG
This 514-nucleotide ribosomal RNA is filed under the name uncultured Ferribacterium sp. RNAcentral's name for it is "bacterial SSU rRNA". It matches the Rfam family "Bacterial small subunit ribosomal RNA", at positions 521 to 1030 of the family's 1533-position model. The record is from RNAcentral. Lineage: Bacteria; Pseudomonadati; Pseudomonadota; Betaproteobacteria; Rhodocyclales; Azonexaceae.